AGAGUUUGAUCCUGGCUCAGGAUGAACGCUGGCGGCGUGCCUAACACAUGCAAGUCGAGCGAUUUACUUCGGUAAAGAGCGGCGGACGGGUGAGUAACGCGUGGGUAACCUGCCUCAUACACAUGGAUAACAUACCGAAAGGUAUGCUAAUACAGGAUAAUAUAAGAGAUUCACAUGGAUUUCUUAUCAAAGUUCCGGCGGUAUGAGAUGGACCCGCGUCUGAUUAGCUAGUUGGUAAGGUAAUGGCUUACCAAGGCGACGAUCAGUAGCCGACCUGAGAGGGUGAUCGGCCACAUUGGAACUGAGACACGGUCCAAACUCCUACGGGAGGCAGCAGUGGGGAAUAUUGCACAAUGGGCGAAAGCCUGAUGCAGCAACGCCGCGUGAGUGAUGAAGGCCUUCGGGUCGUAAAACUCUGUCCUCAAGGAAGAUAAUGACGGUACUUGAGGAGGAAGCCCCGGCUAACUACGUGCCAGCAGCCGCGGUAAUACGUAGGGGGCUAGCGUUAUCCGGAUUUACUGGGCGUAAAGGGUGCGUANGUGGUUUUUUAAGUCAGGAGUGAAAGGCUACGGCUCAACCGUAGUAAGCUCUUGAAACUGGGAAACUUGAGUGCAGGAGAGGAAAGUGGAAUUCCUAGUGUAGCGGUGAAAUGCGUAGAUAUUAGGAGGAACACCAGUAGCGAAGGCGGCUUUCUGGACUGUAACUGACACUGAGGCACGAAAGCGUGGGGGAGCAAACAGGAUUAGAUACCCUGGUAGUCCACGCCGUAAACGAUGAGUACUA
This 783-nucleotide ribosomal RNA is filed under the name uncultured bacterium. RNAcentral describes it as "bacterial SSU rRNA". It matches the Rfam family "Bacterial small subunit ribosomal RNA", at positions 8 to 818 of the family's 1533-position model. The record is from RNAcentral.